GGCCCACCAAGGCGACGAUCAGUAGCCGGCCUGAGAGGGUGAACGGCCACAUUGGGACUGAGACACGGCCCAAACUCCUACGGAAGGCAGCAG
Molecule: ribosomal RNA, 93 nt
Filed under: uncultured bacterium
Lineage: Bacteria
Description: partial 16S ribosomal RNA
Rfam family: Bacterial small subunit ribosomal RNA
Source: RNAcentral